This 301-nucleotide ribosomal RNA is filed under the name uncultured bacterium. Its description in RNAcentral is "partial 16S ribosomal RNA". It matches the Rfam family "Bacterial small subunit ribosomal RNA", at positions 509 to 807 of the family's 1533-position model. The record is from RNAcentral.
CAGCAGCCGCGGUAAUACGAAGGGGGCUAGCGUUGCUCGGAAUUACUGGGCGUAAAGCGUGCGUAGGCGGUGAGUUAAGUCUGCUGUGAAAUCCCCGGGCUCAACCUGGGAAUGGCAGUGGAUACUGGCUCGCUAGAGUGUGUCAGAGGAUGGUGGAAUUCCCGGUGUAGCGGUGAAAUGCGUAGAGAUCGGGAGGAACAUCAGUGGCGAAGGCGGCCAUCUGGGACAACACUGACGCUGAGGCACGAAAGCGUGGGGAGCAAACAGGAUUAGAUACCCCUGUAGUCCCUGUCUCUUAUAC